ACUGCUGCAAUUCAGUGCUCACUAAAUCCUCUUAGCAGUUUAUAGUAUUUCUCUUUUAGAAUCUUUCCUUCUUUUUUCAUACAAACUUUGAGCAAAUAUAUCCUCUUAAACUUACUUCACCCACGCGCAGUUAAGUCCUAUAACCCCCACAUCCCCAUAAACACCCAAUCAACAUUCACGUGCAAUAACACGAGAAAGAGAGAGCGUGAUAAUAUGAAGUUCUAAAAUAAAUACGGAAAACACAAGAACAAAGAAGAGUCGGAUUCAGGAGAAAUCAAGAAGAGAGAGAGAGAGAGAGAGAGAGAGAGAGAGAGAGAGAGAGUGGUGUCAGAGAGAGAAAGUGGGAAGUGGGUAUUUUCGAUUCUUGAUUCAAAAGAUGUGAUUUUUGGAGAAGAACAUAAUAAACAGAGGAGAAUUGAAAUGCAAAGGGAUGGAAGACGAAGCUUAUACAUGAGUAUCAAGAAACAAGUAAGAGUUGAAAAAAAAUGUUUUUUUUAUAUGUAAUAUUUUGUGAAUCUGAAUUGUGUAUCAGUUAAGUGAAGCUCCAAUAAGGUAAAGAGUGUUCACUUUUGUCUGUAUGAAUUCUAAUUCUUCUGACACCUUUGAAGUUUAAAUCUUUGUUCAUUUAGAAUGAAUUUGAACUUGAAGUGUGAAGCUUCAAGCUUUCAAAUUUUGGAAAAAGUUGGCAUUUUGGGUAUGUUUUAGGUAAUCUUGGCAGUUUGAAGUUAUUGAAUUGGAAAUGAAGUUGUGGGUUUUAAGAUUGGAGUUACAGGGAGGUAUUUUUGCUAGAAAUGGAGGGUUUUAUAAAGUAAUGGUUUUGAUGGGGUUUUAAGAUUGGAGUUUUAGUAGGACUUGGGAUUUGAACUAUUUCAAGAUUGGGUUUUUGGAGGGAGAGUUAGUUGAGAAUUUGGAUUUCUGGUGCUGACCUCCGCCCCUUUAAAUCUUAUACUGUUACAAGUUGGGAUUUUGGAGAUGGGAUUUGAUUUGGAAAAUGGAAAGAUUGAUAUUAGAGGGAUUCAUUGUAGUUUCCAAGUUGUUUUUUUGGAGUUUGGGGGAAAACCCUAAUUUAGUGGUGGAAUUGGUUUCUGAUCCUGAAGUUCUUUGUUUUUGAGCAGUGGAAACUUUAUAACCUUUGCUUUUUGUGUAUGGAACUUAUGUGCUGACAGAGAUGCAACCGCCACAUCAGCAUUCACGGAUUAAUCUUGCUGAACUGAAAGCUCAGAUAGUGAGGAAACUUGGAUCAGAUAGGUCGAAACAGUACUUUUAUUACUUAAAUAGGUUGCUGAGCUUGAAGAUAAGCAAGGUUGAGUUCAGUAAGAUUUGUCUUAGGAUCUUCGGAAGAGAGAACAUUCCGCUGCACAAUCAGUUUAUCCGUUCUAUUUUGAAAAAUGCUUGUAGUGCAAAUGUUCCACCAUCAAGUCAUGAGGAUGAGUUUUUGAAGCCUGGUGCAGCGCUUGGCAACAAUGAGGCUUCAAAUGAUGUUUAUGAGCAAAAUGGGUCGCGUGUUUCAUUAAGACAGUCUUCAAGUCAACCAGGUUUGUCAAAUGGGGACAUUUUGCCAUUAUCUCCUCGAAAGGCCAGAACAGGCUUUUGUGAUCGUAGGGCUGGGGAUGGCCGUAGUGCACUUGGACCGAAUGAGAAAACUAGUUUUACUUUUCAACAAUCAACAGCGGAAGAAUCGAGUGAUUUUGAUGUUACUAAGGAAAAUGGUUACUUGAAUCCCCCUGAUGGCCUGAGGUCUGUACAGCACAAUCCAGGACUCAUCCAGCGAUCGGAGGACGAAAGGGAGGCAGCGAAUCUAGAAACUUCCAAACUUUCUUUAACAAAGAGACCACUUGGAGGUCCAGUUUCUGUACAUAACAAAGAUCAGGUUAGUGGUGAUGGGAAAGAGAUGCAUGCUAGGAGUGAGCUACAAGCGCCGCUUGGAGUUCCAUUUUACCCUGUCAGCGUAGUUGGAUCACAUAGAGAAUUGCCUUUGGCAACCAGUAGUAAAUGUUUUAGCUUUUCUAAUUUUGGUGCUUUGUUGGACACCGUAACAUUGAGGGAACGCAUGGAGCAGAUUGCCGCAGAACAGGGAAUUGAAGGGGUGGCAGUCGAUUGUGCCAAUUUGGUGAACAAUGGUUUAGAUUCUUACUUAAAAGGUUUAAUCGGAUCUUGUGUUCAACUUUUGGGAGCAAGGUCUGGGCAUGAACCUACUAAGAUCAGCAGAAAGAAGCAGCAAACCUAUACAAAGCCUGUUAAUGGUCUCAGACCAGGCCAUCAUAUUCAGGUGAGUAGCGAUAAAUCUUCAGAAUUCAUGCAAGAACAGGCUCCCGACAGCCUGAUAUCAUUUCAAGAUUUUAGGGUUGCCAUGGAGCUAAACCGGCAACAACUUGGCAAAGAUUGGCCAUUGCUGCUGGAGAAGGAUACUUCAGUUAUAUGGAAGUCCACCUCACUACUAAAUGAGAGAAUGGUGUUAAAGCAUAGUCGCUGACUAAGUCACUCUGAGGUGUUAGAUUUUCCAGAUUCCUUAUAUAUCGCUUGCCUCGAGGGUAAUGGAGAUGAAAUCAGUCAUUCUUGCUGGAAAACUGGUGACGUUGUUGCUGGUCAAGGAAAAACACUUAUCUAUCUGGAAAAAGAAGAGGCCUUGGUCUCUAAAUAUAGAGUCUUUCUCUCAUUAUCGCUAUGUACUUGUCCAGAUACAGUUGACCUUCUACUUUGAUUGAAUAUUGCUAAACUGUGCGGGAUCUGGACUUUGUUCAUCUCCGAUGUAAGGCGACACUCUUAUGUCCGUGGUCAGAUCUUGUUCAUUCCGAGCAUCAUAAGGCAGAUUAUAUCCUUGAGGUGAUAUGGUGCAUGCUGAUAGAGAUAUUCCGGGUAAACAUUCUCUUCCUUUAACAUGUUGUUGAAUUUGCGAUAAUGAAAGUUCAUUCCUUUUUGUGUUUAAUGCAAUUUUUUCCCUUUUCCUGUUGUUAGGAUGGAUAAUCUUGUUGUUGCUUACAUUGGACGGAAUUGCUCUUUGGAUGAAUUAUUAUGGGUUUUUGGGUAAAAGACCGAGAAGUAAAGUUCGUCGCUUAAUCAAAAAGUAUUUGGUGCCCCUUUCUUUGGCAGAGGUACGUGCAAAAUCUGAUUUUGAUGGUGUCUUAUGGAAACAAAUUGGCAAGAUUUUAAAAAAUAGUCAUAGUAAUCUUUGAAUCUCCAGAAAGGAAAAAAAAACUUUGAAUUUAGUUUAUUAGUUCUUUUUUCUGGAAUAACAUGACUUAUAUAAAAUUUCUCCUUAAAGAUUCUUGCUGGAACUUGUAAUGCAAUUAGAUUCAUGGUGCAAAGGAGGAUUACUUCGGUCAGCUACCAGAUGAUGUUUUGAUUUCCAUUCUCCCACAUUUGACAGUAAUAGAUGCAGCUAGGAUGAGCAUUUUAUCUAGAAGGUGGAAAUAUCUCUUUGCCUCUGUGAGAAGGCACGAGAGAAAAUAUGUUAUUGAUAUUGGAUGAUAAAUACAAUACAAGAGGUCCCUAUUUAUAGCUAUACACUACAAGGAGA
Molecule: non-coding RNA, 3517 nt
Organism: Nicotiana tabacum (common tobacco)
Lineage: Eukaryota; Viridiplantae; Streptophyta; Magnoliopsida; Solanales; Solanaceae
Source: RefSeq, a predicted model, not a curated record